GGGGAUAUGGCUCAAUGGUAGAGUGCCCAGGUUCAAUCCCUGGUCCCCACAAAAAAUAAAAUUAAAAAUAAAAAGGUUUGGGGUAUAACUCAGUGGUAAAGGGCCUCUGGGUUCAAUCCCUAGUACCCCCC
This 131-nucleotide transfer RNA is filed under the name Ictidomys tridecemlineatus (thirteen-lined ground squirrel). Its description in RNAcentral is "Spermophilus tridecemlineatus (thirteen-lined ground squirrel) tRNA". It matches the Rfam family "tRNA". Rfam says of the family: Transfer RNA (tRNA) molecules are approximately 80 nucleotides in length. Their secondary structure includes four short double-helical elements and three loops (D, anti-codon, and T loops). Lineage: Eukaryota; Metazoa; Chordata; Mammalia; Rodentia; Sciuridae. The record is from Rfam by way of RNAcentral.